CUGGCUCAGAUUGAACGCUGGCGGCAGGCCUAACACAUGCAAGUCGAGCGGUAACAGAGAGAAGCUUGCUUCUCUGCUGACGAGCGGCGGACGGGUGAGUAAUACUUGGGAAUUUGCCUUUAGGCGGGGGACAACCACGGGAAACUGUGGCUAAUACCGCAUAAUGUCUACGGACCAAAGUGGGGGACCUUCGGGCCUCACACCUAAAGAUGAGCCCAAGCGGGAUUAGCUAGUUGGUGGGGUAAAGGCUCACCAAGGCGACGAUCCCUAGCUGUUCUGAGAGGAUGAUCAGCCACACUGGGACUGAGACACGGCCCAGACUCCUACGGGAGGCAGCAGUGGGGAAUAUUGCACAAUGGGGGAAACCCUGAUGCAGCCAUGCCGCGUGUGUGAAGAAGGCCUUCGGGUUGUAAAGCACUUUCAGCGACGAGGAAGGAUGUUGUGUUAAUAGCGCAGCGUAUUGACGUU
Molecule: ribosomal RNA, 468 nt
Filed under: Idiomarina sp. R-39100
Lineage: Bacteria; Pseudomonadati; Pseudomonadota; Gammaproteobacteria; Alteromonadales; Idiomarinaceae
Description: bacterial SSU rRNA
Rfam family: Bacterial small subunit ribosomal RNA
Source: RNAcentral